GAGUUCCGCGCCGCAGCUAACGCAUUAAGUGCCCCGCCUGGGGAGUACGGCCGCAAGGCUAAAACUCAAAGGAAUUGACGGGGGCCCGCACAAGCGGCGGAGCAUGCGGAUUAAUUCGAUGCAACGCGAAGAACCUUACCAAGGCUUGACAUACACUGGAAUGUGCCAGAGAUGGUUCAGCCCUUUUGGGCUGGUGUACAGGUGGUGCAUGGUUGUCGUCAGCUCGUGUCGUGAGAUGUUGGGUUAAGUCCCGCAACGAGCGCAACCCUCGUUCUAUGUUGCCAGCACGUGAUGGUGGGAACUCAUAGGAGACUGCCGGGGUCAACUCGGAGGAAGGUGGGGAUGACGUCAAAUCAUCAUGCCCUUUAUGUCUUGGGCUUCACGCAUGCUACAAUGGUCGGUACAAAGGGUUGCGAUGCCGUGAGGUGGAGCGAAUCCCAGAAAGCCGAUCUCAGUUCGGAUCGUAGUCUGCAACUCGAGUACGUGAAGUCGGAGUCGCUAGUAAUCGCA
This 510-nucleotide ribosomal RNA is filed under the name uncultured bacterium. RNAcentral's name for it is "bacterial SSU rRNA". It matches the Rfam family "Bacterial small subunit ribosomal RNA", at positions 836 to 1346 of the family's 1533-position model. The record is from RNAcentral.